CCUACGGGAGACAGCAGUGGGGAAUAUUGGGCAAUGGGCGCAAGCCUGACCCAGCAACGCCGCGUGAAGGAAGAAGGCUCUCUGGUUGUAAACUUCUUUUAAGGGGGAAGAGCAGAAGACGGUACCCCUUGAAUAAGCCACGGCUAACUACGUGCCAGCAGCCGCGCUAAUAAGUAGGUGGCAAGCGUUGUCCGGAUUUACUGGGUGUAAAGGGCGUGCAGCCGGGGAGACCAGGCAGAUGUGAAAUCCACGGGCUCAAACCGUGACCUGCCGUUGAAACUGUUGCCCUUGAGUGUGGGAGAGGUAAUCGGAAUGCCUGGUGUAGCGGUGAAAUGCGUAGAUAUAACGAAGAACACCAGUGGCGAAGGCGGAAUACUGGACGAUAACUGACGCUGAGGCGCGAAAGCGUGGGGAGCGAACAGGAUUAGAUACCCCAGUAGUC
RNAcentral lists this ribosomal RNA (442 nucleotides) under uncultured bacterium. RNAcentral describes it as "partial 16S ribosomal RNA". It matches the Rfam family "Bacterial small subunit ribosomal RNA", at positions 338 to 795 of the family's 1533-position model. The record is from RNAcentral.